RNAcentral lists this ribosomal RNA (279 nucleotides) under uncultured bacterium. RNAcentral describes it as "partial 16S ribosomal RNA". It matches the Rfam family "Bacterial small subunit ribosomal RNA", at positions 506 to 784 of the family's 1533-position model. The record is from RNAcentral.
UGCCAGCCGCCGCGGUAAUACGGAGGGUGCGAGCGUUAAUCGGAAUUACUGGGCGUAAAGCGCACGCAGGCGGUUUGUUAAGCUAGAUAUGAAAUCCCCGGGCUUAACCUGGGAAUGGCGCUUGUGACUGGAAGGCUAGAGUGCGGCAGAGGGGGAUGGAAUUCCUGGUGUAGCAGUGAAAUGCGUAGAUAUCAGGAGGAACACCGAUGGCGAAGGCAGUCCCCUGGGUCGACACUGACGCUCAGGCACGAAAGCGUGGGGAGCAAACAGGAUUAGAUA